GGGUCUGAAUGCUUAUUGCACCACAUGUGUUUUUCUUUGAAACAAACUUGCUUUGGCGGUGGGCCCAGCCUGCCGCCAGAGGUCUAAACUUACAACCAAUUUUUUAUCAACUUGUCACACCAGAUUAUUACUAAUAGUCAAAACUUUCAACAACGGAUCUCUUGGUUCUCGCAUCGAUGAAGAACGCAGCGAAAUGCGAUACGUAAUAUGAAUUGCAGAUAUUCGUGAAUCAUCGAAUCUUUGAACGCACAUUGCGCCCUCUGGUAUUCCGGAGGGCAUGCCUGUUUGAGCGUCGUUUCUCCCUCAAACCGCUGGGUUUGGUGUUGAGCAAUACGACUUGGGUUUGCUUGAAAGACGGUAGUGGUAAGGCGGGAUCGCUUUGACAAUGGCUUAGGUCUAACCAAAAACAUUGCUUGCGGCGGUAACGUCUACCACGUAUAUCUUCAAACUUUGACCUCAAAUCAGGUAGGACUACCCGCUGAACUUAAGCAUAUCAAAAGCCGGAGGAA
Molecule: ribosomal RNA, 509 nt
Filed under: Candida albicans
Lineage: Eukaryota; Fungi; Ascomycota; Pichiomycetes; Serinales; Debaryomycetaceae
Description: eukaryotic LSU rRNA
Rfam family: 5.8S ribosomal RNA (bases 142-295)
Source: RNAcentral